GUGAUUUUAAUUAAAAAUAACAUUAUGUAAAGAAUGAUCGUAUUUUAAAUUCUCUUCAAACUUUUUAAUUCAUGGCACUAAAACUUUAAUUAGUCAAUUAAGUACCAAUUUUGAGCAUUACAAGGGUACUAAUCCUUACUCGUUCAUAACCAACUCCCGAACCUAUUUCCUGAAUUUUGUAGAUCAAAAGUCUUUGUUUUAGUAAAUCAAACGUUUAUUAAAGCGAUCAAUUUCCGAGAUAACCUUAUCACACCUCAUAAAAAAAAAUUGUUGACGACUCCAAUUUUUUUAAAAUAAAAGUCGAUUUCAAAAAAAGUGGUUUCGAUAAUCAUAACUUUCAUUCUAAUUCAAAAAAAAUUAAUCUUUCUAAAUUGAAAUGAUGAAAUAAUACCCUAUUAACUGUCGCCAAGAGUGCUUUGUCGAAAAAUCCUAAAGUGCAGUAGAUGCUGUAGUUUGGGAUGGAGGAAAGUGGUGAUGAUGAUAGAGGGGGGAGGGAUGAGAUUUCCUUUUUAGCAUAAGAACUUAUUCAAUUAUCGGUAAAGGAAUCGAUGGUGGUGCCAACUGACAAGCUGACUCUGAUUUGUACAAUAUGGACAAAGAAGUUUUACAAUCCUGAAAGUUUUAAAGCGCAGAUGAGAAGUAUAUAGAAGACAAAGAAAAACUUUGAGAUUAUGAUUGUAGGGCAGAAUUUAUUUUUGUUGGAGUUUGAUAUAGAUGAGGAUCUGGAGGCAAUUAUGGAAGGGAGACCAUGGUUUUUUCGAAAGAGUGUUAUUUAAAUCAAAAUACUUAAUAGCAUGGCAAUACAUUUGACAGUUUAACUAAACGGGCAGAGAGGGCUCAGAUCCGUCUGACAUCAUCACCGUUUUGGAUAAAAAUAGGUUCGUGUUUACCAUUGUUUGAUAAGAAGGAUCUUCUACAUGCCAUUGGUGUUACGUUUGGUAGGGUUAUCAGAUCUGAAAUCAAUGGGAAUUUAUGCCGAUUGAAGAUUAAUUUAGAUGUGCAAAAACCCUUACGAAGAGGUAUUUUUGUUUCAACCGAAAAUUUUAAUAAAUCUUGGAUUUCUUUUAAGUAUGAGAAACUUCCUAUGUUUUGUUUUGGCUGUGGAACAAUCAGACAUAAUCUCAAAGAAUGUCAUGUGCUAAACCCUUUUGAAAAAGAGAAUCAAAACUGAUCCAAAUUACACGUUGGCCUUAAAAGCAGAAUCGAAUUUAAUUGGGAAGGAGAAUAUGUAAUUUAACGCUUUUUCAAAUAAGGUGAGGGUUCAGAGCUCCUAUACAGGGGGUACAGAGUUGCUGUCAACCAAUUUUAUAACAUCUAUGGAGGAAAAUAAUACGGUUUGGAGAGCACAAAGGACAUCGAAAGACACAUAUGCAGCAGAGCCCAUUGAAAAAAAGCAAGAGGGAGCUUCUACAAUAAGAGAAGAUGACGAGCUGGAUGAAAGCAAAACUAAGACGGUUAAUUUUUCAAAUAUUACAAAGAAGACAAGCUGGAAAAGAAGAGCUCAAAUUUUUAUGUUGAAUCAAGAAAAGAGUGAUAAUGGUACAAGGAAGAGGAAGUGCAUGAUGAAAGGAUAAAAAGAUUGAAACAAGGGAAAGAGGGUCGUGAGAACGUUCCAUCUGAAGCAACGUUGGAUACUAUGGAACAGGAAGAUGCUCCACAAUUUAUAGGAUCGGCGGCUGCGAGUAGGCAAGCCGAUCGAAUACAAUGAAAAGCAUAAGCUGGAAUGUCCGUGGAUUGGGGAGUUCAUGGGCAGUGAGAAGGCUGCAGUACUUUUUAUAGCAGUAUAAUCCCCACAUGGUCUUCUUAAUGGAGACAAAAAUUGAUAAGCAACGUAUGGAUAAAGUUAGGAGAUGUGGAUAUCUGAAUGGGAUUGACGUUUAAGAAGAGAGUUCACGAGGUGGUCUAUGUUUAGCCUAGAAAGAUGAUGGCUCUAAGGAGUUUCUCUAAAAAUCACAUUAAUGUCAUGAUCAAAGAAGCAAGGGGACUUCAGUGAAAUUAUGUAUUCUUUUAAAAAGAAGGGAGGGGCACCUAGGGAGGAGAAGAGAAUGGAGGCAUUCCGUGAGACUCUUGAAAAAUGUCAAUUAGAAGACAUGGGAUAUUCAGGGGCUUAGUUUACAUGGGAAAGAGGUAACUUGCCUGAAACAAACAUAAGGGAAAGACUUGACAGGGGAGUUGUGAAUGACAAAUGGUGGCAACUUUUCCCAACGAGUUAUAUUCAACAUUUACCUCAUUCAAUGUCUGAUCAUUGCCCUCUUCUUCUAAACACAAAUAGCGAAAACACUCACAGGGGAAAUUUAAAUUUCAAAUUUGAAGCAUGGUGGAUCAUGGAAGAAACGUUGGAAGAUAAAAUUAAGGCAUCAUAGGGAUCAUCGACAAACAUAAUAACGAAGAAACUCAAAAGAUUACAAUCUAAUCUACUGGCAUGGGCUAGAUUGAUCAAAACUGAGACAGACUAAAGAAAAAGCUCACAAAGGAUCUUGAUAUCUUAAUGGAGGAGUUAAGGGACAAGGAUACAUUAAGCAAAAUUAUUUACACAAGGGUUUUUCUAAAUAUGAAAAUUGAUAAAGAUGAACUCUUCUGGGAGAAAAUGGCUAGAGCAAAUUGGCUUAAAGUAGGUGAUAAGAAUUCGGCUUUUUUCCAUAAGUUCGCCUCCUCCAGAAGGCGAAUUAACGAUUUCUCGGCUGGAGAUUGGAGGAAGAGAGAUUACUGAGUCAAGUCUGAUCAACGAAACUGCUACCUCAUUUUUUCAAAAGUGAUUCACAUCAAAUGGAGUUGGGAAUCUAUCAUAUCUCUUAAAUGGCAUUGAAAAUCGUAUCUCUCCAGUUGUUAAUCGGGCAUUACUAUUAGCUUAGUCUGAAGAAGAAGUGCAUUCAGCUUUAAAGUGGCCUACUAAAGCACCAGUACCUGACGGUUUCCCUCUUAUAUUUUUUCAAAAAUUUUGGCACAUAGUAGGGAAGUAGGUCACGAAGUUUUGUUUGGGAAUUUUAAAUAGUAACCAGAAUCUGGAUUCUAUCAACCAAACAGAUAUUGUAUUGAUUCCAAAAAUCCCAAAUCCUGCAUGUCCGGCCAAUUUCAGACCUAUAAGUUUGUGUUCAGUCCUUUAUAAAAUGGUGGCAAAAACAAUUGCUAAUCGACUUCAAGGAGUAAUUGAGAAAUGUAUUGAUGAAGCUCAGAGUGCAUUUGUCCCAGGCAGAUUGAUUUCAGAUAAUGUGCCUUUGGCUCAUGAGAUUUUGCAUACUUUUCAGAAUAAGCGAACAGGUAAAAAGGGAUAUAUGGCAAUCAAACUUGAUAUGAGCAAAGCCUAUGAUAGAGUUGAGUGAGUUUUUCUUAAAGAAGUAACGAUGAAAAUGGGCUUUGCAGGGGAAUAGGUGGAGUUAAUCAUGAAAUGUAUUAGUACAGCGUCUUUUGCAGUGAAUACAAAUGGGGAAGAGGAAGAAUUUUUCAAUCGACUAGGGGUUUACGUCAAGGAGAUCCCCUUAGUCCUUUUCUUUUUUUAUUUUAUAGUGAGGGUCUUUCAUCCUUAAUGCAUUUGGCAAUGAAGGAAGGUCCGAUGAAAGGUGCAAAGGUUAGUAGGAAAGGCCCGGAGAUUUCAUAUCUCCUUUUUGCAGUCGAUUGUAUACUGUUCGGGGAAGCAUCGGAUAGGGGGCGAGAAUUUUAAAGGGAAUCCUACAGGAGUUCGAAAGGUGUUCAGGUCAAUGUGUCAAUUUUGAUAAAUCUACUAUUUUCUAUAGUUCUAACACAUCAGAAGAGAAGGAAAGCGAAGUCUUAACAAUAUUAGGGAUAAGAAGAUCAACAAAUAUAGAAAAGUACCUAGGCCUUCCUAAUAUGAUUGGCAGACGGAAGAAUGAGUCCUUUCAAAAUCUAAGAGAGAAGAUUCAGUCUAGAUUUAAAGGAUGGAGCACAAGAUUCUUAUCACAAGGGGGAAAGGAAGGUUUCAUAAAAUCAGUACUUCAAGCUAUCCCAACCUAUGCUAUGUCCUGUUUUCUUUUACCAAAAUCUCUUUGUGGGGAGUUUGAAUGCAUUUUUGCUAAUUUCCGGUGGCAGAAAGCACAAGGAAAAAGGGUAUCCAUUGGUGUUAGUGGAAGUAUUUAUGCCGAUCUAAGGAAGAAGGGGGAAUGGGUUUUAGGAACAUGGCACAAUUUAACGUCUCACUACUAGCUAAGCAAGGCUGGAGAAUUUUGAAUAAUCCAAACUCAUUGGUUGCGCAAGUUUUAAAAGCAAAAUAUUUUCCGAGUGAAAAUUUUUUUGAUUCGCGUUUGAAAUACAACUGUUCGUAUGCAUGGAGAAGUAUAUGGGCUACGAAAGGCAUUUUAGAGAAGGGAUUGUAUUGUAAGGUGGGAAGGGGUACAAAUAUAUCAGCUGUAAAUGACGUUUGGAUUCCUGAUUUAAGUUUCACCAGAUUAUCAUCUUUAGUUUAUAAUUUGAGUGAUGUUAAAGUUGCUGAGUUAAUUAACACUAAUAGUAGACUGUGGAAAAAAGAGUUGAUUGAGUCUACCUUUCCAGAAGAAGUAGCUGAUAGGAUUCUUCGCAUUCCACUGGCAGUUGAGCCUCACGAUGAUCUUCUGGCAUGGAGUGGUGAGCCUUCGGGUGAGUAUACAGUUCGUAGUGCCUAUAAACUAUUACAAAGUUUGGAUGAAGAUCCUAGAGCUUAUGAGUUACAAACCGACCACAAGGGCUUCUAUAAAAAACUAUGGCUACUUAACCUACCUUCAAAAAUAAAAAUAACAGUAUGGAAAGUAACAUGGAACUAUCUUCCUUUACGGGCAAACAUGCAACAAAGGAGAUUGACAAACAUUACAAUUUGCCCGAGGUGUGGGAGUGGGACAGAGAUGAUGAAUCACUUAUUUAGAGAAUGCCCGGUUUCAGUAUCAGUAUGGGGAGAAUUAGCAUGCCAGAUUUUUCUAUCUGAAUAUAAUUUGGAGUUCCCAGAGUGGCUAGUCUGGGUCUUUGAGCAGAGUAAUCCAGUCCAGUGUAGGAUUUUCUGCUGCACUUUAUGGGCAAGCUGGGGAGAUAGAAACGCAAGAGUGCAUAAGAAGGUUAGUAAAUAUGGAAAAGAGAUAGUAAACUUUGUCCACAGUUAUAUUCUUGAAUUAAAUGAGAUCGAAACGAGAAGGCCAAAAGUUUUUCCAGUUGUCAGUAAAUGGAAGCACCCACCUGAUCAGUUUGUGAAGAUCAAUUUUGAUGUUGCAUAUGAUGUGAGAUCUUCUCAUGCUGCACUCGGAAUUGUGGCCAGGAACAGCAAAGGAAAGGUUCUCUUGGCAUGCUCGGAAAUCCACAAUCAAGUCGCCUCAGCCUUUGCUGCUGAGGCAAUCGCGUGUAGAAGUGCAACUCAACUCGGCAUGGACAUGAAAUGGGGAAACAUUAUCAUUGAAGGGGAUUCAUUAACAAUAAUCAAGAAGUGCAGAACAAAGAUCCAAGAUAAGUCACUGAUAGGGGCGUAUAUACAUGAUAUUCAACAGAUCUCGCUUAAAACUCAAAAAUACAGUUUCGAAUAUACUCCAAGAACAGCAAAUCGUCUAGCACAUUUCAUUGCAAUCGAAACAAUGAAAAGCAAGAAGGAAGUUUACCUCAUAGGAAGAGUCCCCGAAUAUGCAGAAAAAUUGAAGGAGAGGGAUAGUGUGAGAGAACCAGAUUGAAGGAAAUGGAAGGUUGAAGAUGGAAAAUGGAGAGGUUAGAGUGGAUAAUCAAUAGGCUCGGCUAAGAAGCUCUCAUUGGGAAUCUGGAAUCGUCUUUAACAAGUAAUGUCAGAUGAUAAGAAAAGACGAUUUUUCCAAAGCGUUUUCAGAUUGGGAAUAGUGAUAAAUAAUGAAUGCGUUUUACAGAACUUUAUUGUUUAGUUUUUCUAGAAUUUUUCCGUUUAUUUAUUGUUUAGUUUUUUCUCUUUUUGGGCUUUUGUUUAUUAGGUCUCUGGUUUGUUUCUAGGCCAUUGUUUUUCUGGGCUGUGAGUUAAGGCCUGUUUUUUUCCUAUUUCUUAAAUAAAAUCCAAUCUGAUUAUUG
Molecule: long non-coding RNA, 5997 nt
Filed under: Gossypium barbadense (sea-island cotton)
Lineage: Eukaryota; Viridiplantae; Streptophyta; Magnoliopsida; Malvales; Malvaceae
Description: long non-coding RNA (GBAR_LNC017215)
Source: RNAcentral